Molecule: small RNA, 235 nt
Filed under: Panthera pardus (leopard)
Lineage: Eukaryota; Metazoa; Chordata; Mammalia; Carnivora; Felidae
Description: 7SK RNA (ENSPPRG00000021696.1)
Rfam family: 7SK RNA
About the family: 7SK was discovered as an abundant small nuclear RNA in the mid-70s but a possible function has only recently been suggested. Two independent studies have found that 7SK RNA binds the CDK9/cyclin T complex (known as elongation factor P-TEFb).
Source: RNAcentral
CGACGUGAGGAUGGGCUGGCUGCCAUGUCUGUCAUCCCAGCGAUCCCCAGAGUUGAUCGGCUGUGUGGCUGGCUAGGCAUGUGUCUUCCUCCUCCCUCACUGCUCUACCUGCGUCCCUCCUGAAGCUAAGCACUCAAAGAGGAUGACCUUCCUUGAUGGAGGAGGAUCUUUCUUCAGUCAGGGGUAUGCCAGUGGCUGCGCUAUCCUGCUGGAACCCCCAAACAAGUUUUCAUUU